CAUAUAACAUUUUUUAAGAAUAAAAUAUGAAUGGGAAGAUGUAAAACUAUACUCAUGUGUUAGAUAACUUUUCUAAAAGAAUUGUUAAAACUUAAAAGGCAAACCUUCUAGCCUAAGUUAUUCACAAAGUUUGAUCUUUUACUCAUAUUGUCAUAAUUUGAAUUCAAUAUACAAGUUUUCUGGUAGUGUAGAUGAUUUAUAAAUACUUCUAUAAAUUUCUUAUGAGCUCAAAGGUAUACCUUAAGAACAAUUUGAAGCAAUUCAUCCCAUGAAAAUAAACUUUUAAGAUACCCAACUAAAAUUUAAUCUCUCUUUUUUUCUUCUUAACUCCAAGACUCAAACCCAUUACCUUUCAAAGAAGAAUCAAGUGCAAGAAGAUAAGUUGAGAAGACACCACAUCCAACUCAAAACCUUAAGGGUCUUAUUUAAACCAAAGAAAAUAUGGCUGCUGCUAUUGGGGGAGGGGCAUUACUCUCUGCUUCUGUUCAGGUGUUGUUGGAUAAGAUCAUUUCCACUAGUGUAUAUAAAAAGUUUUACCCAUAAUUAAAGUGAUCUGCGUGCAAAUUAAUAAAUAAGAUUACUUCAAACAUUACAGAACAAAAUGAGGAAACACCCAAAAUUGAAGUAAUCUGUGAUCCAACAAUAAUAAGGAAACACCCAAAAUAAUCACAAUGACCUGAACUUUUUCCUACGCCUACAUGAAAUGGCAAGCAUUUAAAAUAACUUAAAGAACAAAAAACUGCAGAAGCAUAACUCUGAAGAGGAAUUAAAUUUUAACAGGGUUGAAAUUUUAAAAAGUUAAAUCAUACUCUACUAUCUACCACAAUAAUGCAAUAAACCCUAAACAGAUAAACAUAUUGGGUGUUAAUAUUGCAAUUCACAUCAAAAACAGAUUCAGUGUCAAUAUCCUAACUUACAACUAACUUCAUUAUAUUAUAAUUUGCAAAUACUAGCUCACUUUUUCAUGACAUUAUCUUGAAUAAAUUCAAAAUAAAUUCACCAAACAACAUAUUUAGAACCAAAAUUAGCAUGAUGAAUAAACAGGAACAACAGUUAGUCAAACUAAGGGAACACCAAAAGUAUUUAGGGCACCCUGAUCUUCUGUAUGCAUAAAUGAAAUGCAGGGGUUUAAAACCACUUGCAUGAUUUCAGAAGAAUUCAUAGAAGUCAACCGUUGACAAGCAACUUAAUUGCAAGCCAGAACCAAGGAUUGACCAUAAUCUUUUGCACAUACGACACUGGAUAUCUCGUCAUACAGAAACAUCAUUACUAAGAUUGAAAAUAUUGCUCUUGAUCUUCAAUAUAACAAGAUAUUGUCAUAAAAUGUCUAGUUGACCAUAAGAUAUGAUAGCACCCAUGGAAAUCAUGAAAACAAGUAAAUAUUUUAAAGGAACUAAUAACAUUGGCAAAGGAAUUACCACACAUAUAUAUCACCUAAUAACUGCUUCUAGUUCUAUAAAAUUUUGGUUCUUAAUCUUCACUGCUUACAUUCCUAUGCUUGCAAUAACAUGCUACACAUGUUGUAUCAUCUAAAGUUCUCAACAUUACGGUUGCAACAUGCUAAGAUCUAAUCACUAUAACUACUACUAGUAGGAAUUACCAUUCUUGUACCCAAGCCAUAUGAUUCAA
Arachis ipaensis is the source of this 1629-nucleotide non-coding RNA. Lineage: Eukaryota; Viridiplantae; Streptophyta; Magnoliopsida; Fabales; Fabaceae. The record is from RefSeq and is a predicted model, not a curated record.